Long non-coding RNA from Centrocercus urophasianus (Greater sage-grouse), 533 nucleotides. RefSeq lists it as uncharacterized. The transcript has 3 exons. The record is from RefSeq and is a predicted model, not a curated record. NCBI's taxonomy places the organism in Eukaryota, Metazoa, Chordata, Aves, Galliformes, Phasianidae.
GUAGAUGUUGCAAAAAUAUAACUGAAAUCAAGAAAAGAAUUCUGCUCCUUCAAAGUCUCAUUUGAAUACUUUUUUUUUUUUCUACAAGGUUCUCGUGAGUGAAUUAGAAACCACUGAAAUGCUUCUGAAGCAAAGCCAUGAUCUGUUGAAAUUUCACCAUAAUCAGAAUGUUCAGCUUCUUUGCCCAAGGUUUUGAUGGGAAGUCAUGAAACAACUGAAGUAUUUUAAAAGCAAAACAGUCUGAGUUGGAACUUUCCCAGAACAUGUUCAGUUUGAUGCAAUGCCUGUUUCUGACGUCCUGCAAUAUGGAGUCUGCACUUUGCUUGGAAUAAACACAUCUGGUGAUGGACAGUUUCUUAAAUAGAAAAUGGAAUGGACGCAGAAUCACAAACAUAAAUUUUUUUCAAGAGAAGGAAUCAGACAUACAGAUGACUAAGUGGCCAGAAUGUCAUACCAAGGAUGGAAGUCUCCUUACCUCUGGUCUAUUCCAGAUGCCAUUAUAUGUCAAAUUUAAAAAAAAAAUCUCAUUAAAC